UUGUGCCUACGGGGGGCAGCAGUGGGAGAUAUUGCACAAUGGGGGAAACCCUGAUGCAGCGACGCCGCGUGAGCGAAGAAGUAUUUCGGUAUGUAAAUCUCUAUCAGCAGGGAAGAAAAUGACGGUACCUGACUAAGAAGCUCCGGCUAAAUACGUGCCAGCAGCCGCGGUAAUACGUAUGGAGCAAGCGUUAUCCGGAUUUACUGGGUGUAAAGGGAGCGUAGACGGCAUAGCAAAUCUGAAGUGAAAGCCCGUGGCUCAACCGCGGAACUGCUUUGGAAACUGUUAAGCUGGAGUACUGGAGA
RNAcentral lists this ribosomal RNA (305 nucleotides) under uncultured bacterium. RNAcentral's name for it is "bacterial SSU rRNA". It matches the Rfam family "Bacterial small subunit ribosomal RNA", at positions 333 to 655 of the family's 1533-position model. The record is from RNAcentral.